AGAGUUCGAUCCUGGCUCAGGAUGAACGCUGGCGGCGUGCUUAACACAUGCAAGUCGAACGAGAAAUGAAGACGGAAACCUUCGGGCGGAAGACUUCAUUUCGAGUGGCGGACGGGUGAGUAACGCGUGGGUAACCUGCCUCAUACAGGGGGAUAACAGUUGGAAACGACUGUUAAUACCGCAUAAGACCACAGCACCGCAUGGUGCGGGGGUAAAAACUCCGGUGGUAUGAGAUGGACCCGCGUUCGAUUAGCCAGUUGGCGGGGUAACGGCCCACCAAAGCGACGAUCGAUAGCCGAUCUGAGAGGAUGACCGGCCACAUUGGGACUGAGACACGGCCCAAACUCCUACGGGAGGCAGCAGUGGGGAAUAUUGCACAAUGGGGGAAACCCUGAUGCAGCGACGCCGCGUGAGUGAAGAAGUAUUUCGGUAUGUAAAGCUCUAUCAGCAGGGAAGAAAAUGACGGUACCUGAGUAAGAAGCCCCGGCUAACUACGUGCCAGCAGCCGCGGUAAUACGUAGGGGGCAAGCGUUAUCCGGAUUCAUUGGGCGUAAAGCGCUCGUAGGCGGUCUGUUAGGUCGGGAGUUAAAUCCGGGGGCUCAACCCCCGUUCGCUCCCGAUACCGGCAGACUUGAGUUUGGUAGGGGAAGGUGGAAUUCCUAGUGUAGCGGUGGAAUGCGCAGAUAUUAGGAAGAACACCAGUGGCGAAGGCGGCCUUCUGGGCCAUAACUGACGCUGAGGAGCGAAAGCUAGGGGAGCAAACAGGAUUAGAUACCCUGGUAGUCCUAGCCGUAAACGAUGGACACUAGGUGUGGGGGAAUAUUUCUUCCGUGCCGCAGCUAACGCAUUAAGUGUCCCGCCUGGGGAGUACGGCCGCAAGGCUAAAACUCAAAGGAAUUGACGGGGGCCCGCACAAGCAGCGGAGCAUGUGGUUUAAUUCGAAGCAACGCGAAGAACCUUA
Molecule: ribosomal RNA, 961 nt
Filed under: uncultured Stomatobaculum sp.
Lineage: Bacteria; Bacillati; Bacillota; Clostridia; Lachnospirales; Lachnospiraceae
Description: bacterial SSU rRNA
Rfam family: Bacterial small subunit ribosomal RNA
Source: RNAcentral